UACAGAGGUCUCAAGCGUUGUUCGGAUUCAUUGGGCGUAAAGGGUGCGUAGGCGGCGCGGUAAGUCGGGUGUGAAAUCUCGGAGCUUAACUCCGAAACUGCAUUCGAUACUGCCGUGCUUGAGGACUGGAGAGGAGACUGGAAUUUACGGUGUAGCGGUGAAAUUCGUAGAUAUCGUAAGGAAGACCAGUGGCGAAGGCGGGUCUCUGGACAGUUCCUGACGCUGAGGCACGAAGGCCAGGGGAGCAAACGGG
Molecule: ribosomal RNA, 253 nt
Filed under: uncultured bacterium
Lineage: Bacteria
Description: partial 16S ribosomal RNA
Rfam family: Bacterial small subunit ribosomal RNA
Source: RNAcentral